This 27-nucleotide small RNA is filed under the name Bombyx mori (domestic silkworm). RNAcentral describes it as "ovarian small RNA-37923". Lineage: Eukaryota; Metazoa; Arthropoda; Insecta; Lepidoptera; Bombycidae. The record is from RNAcentral.
UUGCUGACUCUUGAGCUAUGUCGAUGA